UACAGAGGUCCCGAGCGUUGUUCGGAUUCAUUGGGCGUAAAGGGUGCGUAGGCGGCGGGGAAAGUCUGAUGUGAAAUCCUGGGGCUCAACCCUGGAACUGCAUUGGAUACUUCCUUGCUAGAGUACUGGAGAGGAAACUGGAAUUUACGGUGUAGCAGUGAAAUGCGUAGAGAUCGUAAGGAAGACCAGUGGCGAAGGCGGCAUCCUGGACCGGUAUUGACGCUGAGGCGCGAAAGCCAGGGGAGCAAACGGG
RNAcentral lists this ribosomal RNA (253 nucleotides) under uncultured bacterium. RNAcentral's name for it is "partial 16S ribosomal RNA". It matches the Rfam family "Bacterial small subunit ribosomal RNA", at positions 524 to 776 of the family's 1533-position model. The record is from RNAcentral.